This 426-nucleotide ribosomal RNA is filed under the name uncultured Pseudomonadota bacterium. RNAcentral describes it as "bacterial SSU rRNA". It matches the Rfam family "Bacterial small subunit ribosomal RNA", at positions 356 to 774 of the family's 1533-position model. The record is from RNAcentral. Lineage: Bacteria; Pseudomonadati; Pseudomonadota.
GGGGAAUUUUGGACAAUGGGGGCAACCCUGAUCCAGCCAUGCCGCGUGAGUGAAGAAGGCCUUCGGGUUGUAAAGCUCUUUCGGACGGAAAGAAAUCGCCGCCUCUAACAUAGGCGGUGGAUGACGGUACCGUAAGAAGAAGCACCGGCUAACUACGUGCCAGCAGCCGCGGUAAUACGUAGGGUGCGAGCGUUAAUCGGAAUUACUGGGCGUAAAGGGUGCGUAGGCGGUUAUUUAAGUCUGCCGUGAAAUCCCCGGGCUCAACCUGGGAAUGGCGGUGGAUACUGGAUAGCUAGAGUGUGUCAGAGGAUGGUGGAAUUCCCGGUGUAGCGGUGAAAUGCGUAGAGAUCGGGAGGAACAUCAGUGGCGAAGGCGGCCAUCUGGGACAACACUGACGCUGAAGCACGAAAGCGUGGGGAGCAAACA